ACGUCAAGGCGGUUGUGAUGUG
RNAcentral lists this microRNA (22 nucleotides) under Melibe leonina. Its description in RNAcentral is "mle-miR-2c-5p". Its record names the gene mle-miR-2c-5p. Lineage: Eukaryota; Metazoa; Mollusca; Gastropoda; Nudibranchia; Dendronotidae. The record is from miRBase by way of RNAcentral.